GAAAUGCGAUAAUUAAUGUGAAUUGCAGAAUUCAGUGAAUCAUCGAGUCUUUGAACGCACAUUGCGCCCCCUGGUAUUCCGUGGGGCAUGCCUGUCCGAGCGUCAUUGCUGCCCUCAAGCACGGCUUGUGUGUUGGGCUUCCGUCCCUGGCAACGGGGACGGGCCCAAAAGGCAGUGGCGGCACCAUGUCUGGUCCUCGAGCGUAUGGGGCUUUGUCACCCGCUCCCGUAGGUCCAGCUGGCAGCUAGCCUCGCAACCAAUCUUUUUAACCAGGUUGACCUCGGAUCAGGUAGGGAUACCCGCUGAACUUAAGC
RNAcentral lists this unclassified non-coding RNA (314 nucleotides) under plant metagenome. Its description in RNAcentral is "partial contains 5.8S ribosomal RNA, internal transcribed spacer 2, and large subunit ribosomal RNA". The stretch from base 1 to 105 matches the Rfam family "5.8S ribosomal RNA", at positions 50 to 154 of the family's 154-position model. The record is from RNAcentral.